AUAAAUGUUUAAAAUGCCACUUACAGUUUAUGGCUUUAUUUCUAUAGAUAUAUUUAAUAAUAUUUACCCUAUUCUUAUGAUAUCAAAUGUCCUGUCUAAAAGUUCUAUCUUAUAUCAGUGAGUUAAAAUUUACUACCUAUUUUCUCCUCUUUUAGAUUCAAGACAUCGGGUCUUAUGCUACAACUUUGAAACAUUUGCAGUCGAGAAUUGGAGGGCAGUUAAUAAAUAUGUAAUUUCAUUCUUUUACCUGCAGCCAUUCCCAUUGAUCAGAAUCAUUUAUUACAAUUUUUAAAUUUUAUUAAACCAACAGAUGUCACUGUGGGAUUAUAUGUAAGUCCUCAUUUCUAAUCAAUUGAUUCAUGUAUUAACUUUUCUGAUAUAUUGUGUAGACUUUUCACUUCAGCUGUGUAGGACAAUGUGAUAUCUGGGAUCCUGAUAAUUCAUUCUGUUCUAUUAUGCAUGGCUUUUACUGUGUUGUUGUUGUUGUUUUUCUUUUUCUGUUUGUUUUUGGCCAAAGUGAAACUUCUUGUUCCCAUAUGAAAUUACAAUUACAUUUUUAAUUGUGUAUGAAAAAUUUUGGUUGGAGAUUACAUUAAAUGUGUGAAUUGCUUUUGGAAGAAUGCCAUUUAUAAUGUAAUAGCUCUGUUAUCUUAUAACCAUGGAGGAAUUUUAUCCUGAAAUUUCUUUAAUAUUUUUACUUUCUUAAAUUGUCAGCGUACCCUUUUACGUUUUGGAUGUGUAUGUGUUCAUGUGUGGGUGUGUGUGCAUGUGUGCUUGCAUGCUUUGUGAAUGGCAUGUUUUUCUAUGAUUUCUUAAAUAGUAAUAUUGUUAUACAUGAAACUUACUGAAUUAUUUUGUGCUAAUUUUUUAUCCUGUCACCUUUGUGGGGUCCAUCAGUAGCAAUAGGUUUCUUGUUUAAAAUUAAGGAAAAUUUACAUUUAAAAUAAGAUGAUAUUCAAAUGAACAUAUUUAACCACUGAUAUUCCAUUUUUGUUACAUUUUUCUCCAUCACUCUUUCCCUUGAAUUGACUCCUAAUAAUAUAAUAAGUAGGCAAGAAAAUGAACAUUCUUGUUUUCUUCCAAAAUGUUAUUAAUAUUUGUCACCGUAAUGUAAUUCUGGCUCUGACGUUGUCAUAUAUUGUCUCUCUUAAUUCAAAAUAUGUUCUCUGUAUCCUUACCAGUGGCUGCAUUUUUUAGGAAAAGUGACCCUUGCUCAUCAGGCAGUCAUUAGUGCUAAGGGAGCCCAGCUUUAUAAACUGCAGUUGAAUUUGUUUCUGAAUGGGCGGGGAAGGAUUUCAUCUGGAAGCAAUGGGAAGAAAAGGGACUAAAUUUUUCAAAGAAGAAAAAGUAGAUGAAAGUUACCAUGUUGUGACCUGUAAUUUCACAUUGGGAGAGAUGAACGUGGAGUACUUGUCUGAGGACACUUUGGAUUACACUAAUUAGAAGGAACCCUAGGCUGCAGUUUGUGAGUAUGUAUCAAAAAGUCACCAAAAGAAGUGAGUUUAAAUGAUGAUAUAAAUGAACAAAUAACUAAUUUAUCUGAGAUGUAAGUAGAGUAAAAUAUUUUGCAGUAACUAAAUAUUACAUGUUUGAACAAAAGGACAAUACAAAUCAAAUCAAAUGAUUUUUACGCUUUUCAAACCAUUGACACAUAGGGAUGUUGCUCAAAAUAGGAUGUAUGCCCAGUGUGUUACAGUUCCUGAGUUGAAAUCCCACUGUUUCAGUGAAAAAAUAAUUUGACUCACCAGUGAGUUGGCAGGUUAUAUAAAAUGAACUCCAGUCAAAACAGAGUUCCAUCCUGGAGAGUAUCAGAGUAGUAGUAGAGGAUUGACUUGCACAAUUUUGCUCUGACCAAUAGAAAUGUAUCCUCUGAAGACUAGCUUAAUUAAAUGUUAGUACCUAAAGAUGAAUCAAUAUGGAAUCUGUAUUAGUUUUUGAAUUACUAAUUUUGAAAAUUGAUUUUUUUCAUUCAAUAUAUUAUA
Long non-coding RNA from Rattus rattus (black rat), 1982 nucleotides. RefSeq lists it as uncharacterized. The transcript is spliced from 3 exons. NCBI's taxonomy places the organism in Eukaryota, Metazoa, Chordata, Mammalia, Rodentia, Muridae. The record is from RefSeq and is a predicted model, not a curated record.